AUGGGAGCCAUGGCUGCACGGGGAUGCGCACCCACCCCACGCCGACAACAUCUCGCUGUCAUGGCCGCCGGUCGCCACCCUCGCCACCGACCUCGCCGUCUUCGUCUCAUGUCUUACUCGCCGGAUCUACGGAUGCAGCAUCUUUCGCCCAAGGUUGCAACUCCCACACUGGCGAUGGCAGCCCCGGUGGGACGGCCGCAGCUCCGUAGCGCCAGUCGCCGGUCGCAACACUCCGGCGACGAGCUCGCGAAAAAAGGACUCUCUUUCGAGUUAGCUGGUGUCAACAAAAAUGACCGCCGACAGUAG
Molecule: ribosomal RNA, 306 nt
Filed under: Triticum aestivum (bread wheat)
Lineage: Eukaryota; Viridiplantae; Streptophyta; Magnoliopsida; Poales; Poaceae
Description: partial small subunit ribosomal RNA
Source: RNAcentral